Small nuclear RNA from Trichechus manatus latirostris (Florida manatee), 103 nucleotides. NCBI's taxonomy places the organism in Eukaryota, Metazoa, Chordata, Mammalia, Sirenia, Trichechidae. The record is from RefSeq and is a predicted model, not a curated record.
UUGCUUUGGUAGCAUAUAUGCUAACAUUGGACUGAUGCAUUGAGGAUUGGCAAGGCCUCUACACAAGGAUGACAUACAAAUUCAUGAAGUGUUGCAUAUUUUU